Molecule: small RNA, 27 nt
Filed under: Bombyx mori (domestic silkworm)
Lineage: Eukaryota; Metazoa; Arthropoda; Insecta; Lepidoptera; Bombycidae
Description: ovarian small RNA-19491
Source: RNAcentral
UAAGUUUGCUUACAAGUUGUAUGGUCU